GUGCUCGCUUCAGUAGUACACAUACUAAAACUGGAAUGAUACAGGGAAGAUUAGCCUGGCCUCUGCACAAGGAUGACACGCUAAUUCGUGACGCAUUCCACUGAAUC
Small nuclear RNA from Octodon degus (degu), 107 nucleotides. Lineage: Eukaryota; Metazoa; Chordata; Mammalia; Rodentia; Octodontidae. The record is from Ensembl.